AUGAUCUUCUGCACAUUGAUGGCAAUGGAGGGACCAAUUCUUUGUCGCCCUAUAAUGCAAGCAAGGCUUCCUGCUGCCCUUGUCAACAACUCAUUGAUCAAAUCUGGGCAGCUUGGCACUGCAUUCUUGGGUGCUGUGUCUAAAUACCGCAACAUUACUAGACUAGUUUCUCCAAUCUCUCAGUCAUCUUCAAAGAACUUUGGUCCUAUUUGUCAUAGCUUCAGCUCCUCAUCUGAUGGUAAUGGAUACAUGGCUGGAAACUUCAAUGAAAAUGAUGAAGAUUAUGUUAAUUCCACUGUGCUUGAAGCUGUUGAGGUCAGAAGUGGAUCAGAAGGAUAUAUAGUAAAGAUGCGAGAUGGGAAAAACCUGCGGUGUGUGCAUAAUAAUUCUCAAGGGAGAGAGAUUCCAGAGAGUGCACCACAACCUGCUAUCGUUUUGAGAAUUGAAGAUGGAAGUGGAACUUUACUUCCAAUCAUUGUUUUGGAGAUGCCAAGUGUACUUCUGAUGGCUGCUAUUCGCCAUGUUCAUAUUGCAAGACCUACAAUAUAUCAAGUUGUUAAGGAACUGAUCGAUAAGAUGGGCUAUGAGGUAAAACUUGUUCGGGUAAACAAAAGAAUUGAAGAAGCAUACUGUGCCGAGCUUUAUCUAACAAAGAUUGGAGAUCAAACAGAGAGUAUAACAUUUGAUCUUCGGCCUUCGGAUGCUAUCAAUAUUGCUGUUCGCUGCAAGGUUCCUAUACAAGUACAUAGGAGUCUUGCAUACAGCGACGGCAUAAGAUCAGUCGAGCCAGCAAAAUUGGUGGCCACAGGUGGCCUUUCAGAUGGUUUGUUGUUUACUGAACUUGACAGACCUGAUGGAGAGCCCUGCGUUGAAGCUCAAGAGUUUAGUUUGGUGCGAAACAUGUUCAUUGCAGUUGUUGAAGAGAGAUACAAAGAUGCAGCAACAUGGAAGGACAAACUAAUGAGGCUGAGAUCUAAGCGGAAGAACUGGGCCUGA
Molecule: ribosomal RNA, 996 nt
Filed under: Triticum aestivum (bread wheat)
Lineage: Eukaryota; Viridiplantae; Streptophyta; Magnoliopsida; Poales; Poaceae
Description: partial small subunit ribosomal RNA
Source: RNAcentral